RNAcentral lists this ribosomal RNA (442 nucleotides) under uncultured bacterium. Its description in RNAcentral is "partial 16S ribosomal RNA". It matches the Rfam family "Bacterial small subunit ribosomal RNA", at positions 338 to 795 of the family's 1533-position model. The record is from RNAcentral.
CCUACGGGGUGCAGCAGUGGGGAAUAUUGGGCAAUGGGCGCAAGCCUGACCCAGCAAUGCCGCGUGAAGGAAGAAGGCUUUCGGGUUGUAAACUUCUUUGACAGGGGAAGAGCAGAAGACGGUACCCUGAAAACAAGCCACGGCUAACUACGUGCCAGCAGCCGCGGUAAUACGUAGGUGGCAAGCGUUGUCCGGAUUUACUGGGUGUAAAGGGCGUGUAGCCGGGAAGGCAAGUCAGAUGUGAAAUCUGGAGGCUCAACCUCCAAAUUGCAUUUGAAACUGGUUUUCUUGAGUACUGGAGAGGCAGACGGAAUUCCUUGUGUAGCGGUGAAAUGCGUAGAUAUAAGGAGGAACACCAGUGGCGAAGGCGGUCUGCUGGACAGCAACUGACGGUGAGGCGCGAAAGCGUGGGGAGCAAACAGGAUUAGAUACCCCAGUAGUC